AGCUCCAAUAGCGUAUAUUAAAGUUGUUGCAGUUAAAAAGCUCGUAGUUGGAUUUCGGGGUGGCCUGGCUGGUCCGUCGCGAGGCGAGCACUGGUCAGCCACCCUUCCUCUCGAAAGCCCCGACUGCUCUUCGUUGCAGUGGUCGGGUAGUUCGGGACGUUUACUUUGAAAAAAUUAGAGUGUUCAAGGCAGGCUCGCCAGCUUGAAUACAUGAGCAUGGAAUAAUGGAAUAGGACUACGGUCCCUAUUUCGUUGGUUUGACGGACCGAAGUAAUGAUUAAGAGGGACAAUUGGGGGCAUCCGUAUUUCGUAGUCAGAGGUGAAAUUCUUGGACCUACGAAAGACGAACAACUGCGAAAGCAUUUGCCAAGAGUGUUUUCAUUAAUCAAGAACGAAAGUA
Molecule: ribosomal RNA, 400 nt
Filed under: phytoplankton environmental sample
Lineage: Eukaryota
Description: partial small subunit ribosomal RNA
Rfam family: Eukaryotic small subunit ribosomal RNA
Source: RNAcentral